This 76-nucleotide transfer RNA is filed under the name Tepidimonas alkaliphilus. RNAcentral's name for it is "tRNA-Thr". It matches the Rfam family "tRNA". From Rfam's summary of the family: Transfer RNA (tRNA) molecules are approximately 80 nucleotides in length. Their secondary structure includes four short double-helical elements and three loops (D, anti-codon, and T loops). Lineage: Bacteria; Pseudomonadati; Pseudomonadota; Betaproteobacteria; Burkholderiales. The record is from RNAcentral.
GCCGCUUUAGCUCAGCUGGUAGAGCGCCCGCCUUGUAAGCGGAAGGUCGUCUGUUCGAGUCAGACAAGCGGCACCA